RNAcentral lists this ribosomal RNA (433 nucleotides) under uncultured bacterium. RNAcentral's name for it is "bacterial SSU rRNA". It matches the Rfam family "Bacterial small subunit ribosomal RNA", at positions 29 to 506 of the family's 1533-position model. The record is from RNAcentral.
GCGAACGCUGUCGGCAGGCUUAACACAUGCAAGUCGAGCGGGCGUAGCAAUACGUCAGCGGCAGACGGGUGAGUAACGCGUGGGAACGUACCUUUUGGUUCGGAACAACACAGGGAAACUUGUGCUAAUACCGGAUAAGCCCUUACGGGGAAAGAUUUAUCGCCGAAAGAUCGGCCCGCGUCUGAUUAGCUAGUUGGUGAGGUAACGGCUCACCGAGGCGACGAUCAGUAGCUGGUCUGAGAGGAUGAUCAGCCACAUUGGGACUGAGACCCGGCCCAAACUCCUACGGGGGGCAGCAGUGGGGAAUAUUGGACAAUGGGCGAAAGCCUGAUCCAGCCAUGCCGCGUGAGUGAUGAAGGCCCUAGGGUUGUAAAGCUCUUUUGUGCGGGAAGAUAAUGACGGUACCGCAAGAAUAAGCCCCGGCUACCUUCGU